Molecule: ribosomal RNA, 502 nt
Filed under: uncultured bacterium
Lineage: Bacteria
Description: bacterial SSU rRNA
Rfam family: Bacterial small subunit ribosomal RNA
Source: RNAcentral
AGAGUUUGAUCCUGGCUCAGAUUGAACGCUGGCGGUAUGCUUAACACAUGCAAGUCGAACGGUAACAGGCAGAGCUUGCUCUGCGCUGACGAGUGGCGGACGGGUGCGUAACGCGUGGGAAUUUACCUUGUAGUGGGGGAUAGCCCGGAGAAAUCCGGAUUAAUACCGCAUAAUCUCUACGGAGCAAAGUGGGGGAUCUUCGGACCUCACGCUAUUAGAUGAGCCCGCGUUAGAUUAGCUUGUUGGUGGGGUAAUGGCUCACCAAGGCAACGAUCUAUAGCUGGUUUGAGAGGAUGAUCAGCCACACUGGGACUGAGACACGGCCCAGACUCCUACGGGAGGCAGCAGUGGGGAAUAUUGGACAAUGGGCGCAAGCCUGAUGCAGCCAUGCCGCGUGUGUGAAGAAGGCUUUCGGGUUGUAAAGCACUUUCAGUGAGGAGGAAAAGUUAACGGUUAAUACCCGUUAGCCCUGACGUUACUCACAGAAGAAGCACCGCUAACU